RNAcentral lists this ribosomal RNA (477 nucleotides) under Triticum aestivum (bread wheat). RNAcentral's name for it is "partial small subunit ribosomal RNA". The record is from RNAcentral. Lineage: Eukaryota; Viridiplantae; Streptophyta; Magnoliopsida; Poales; Poaceae.
AUGCUCUACGGGGUCUUGCGAACUCGUUGGACUCGCCGGGGUGACCAAAUGGUCACCGGAGCUGCGUCGACGGCAAGCUCGGCGACGGCGGAGCCCGAAGAGGGGAACGGCGACGUGGCGGCGAUGCAGGGCUUCCGGGGAGCUGUGGAGCAGUGGGGAGGAAGAGGGAGUCGAGGCGGAGCUCCUGAGCUGGUGUACAAUACCCUUGGGGUGACCUACAAGCGCGAGAACAAACUGGACAAGGCAAUCAAGCAAUUCGAGAAGGCCGUGGAGCUCCGACCAGGCUAUGUGACAGCAUGGAACAACCUCGGCGAUGCAUAUGAGCAGCAGAAGUACCUCGCGUCCGCGCUCAGGGCAUUCAAGGAGAUAUUGCUCUUUGAUCCAAAAAACAAGGUGGCAAGGCCGCGCCGAGAUGACCUCAAGUCACGUGUUCGCAUGUACAAGGGCAUGCCAGUGAAGACGACGGACAAGCAAUAG